Molecule: long non-coding RNA, 258 nt
Filed under: Nicotiana benthamiana
Lineage: Eukaryota; Viridiplantae; Streptophyta; Magnoliopsida; Solanales; Solanaceae
Description: long non-coding RNA (NBEN_LNC033695)
Source: RNAcentral
CUGGUUGAAAUGUCUGCUCCAACUGAGGUAUGGGGUGUUCCAAUGGGUAAUAUGGGCCGCGCCAUGGUGGCAAGUUUUUGAAUUCGUGUAAAGUUAACUCGUAUCCCAGUCUGAAGGUAGUACCGUGUUUCUUCAACUGGAUAGGUUUGGUGAUACCUUGAAUAUUCUUACCAAGUCCUUCCCUUGUUCAUACCCACUCCAACUAAGAAUGCUCUCAACCUUAUUACUCCACAAUUUUUCCUUGUCCACUGCGUUGAC